GGUAAAAAAGCUCGUAGUUGGAUUUCUGUUGAGGAUGGGCGGUCCGCACCAUGUGCGCCGAUCUGCUUCAGCCUCGGCAUCCUCUCGAAAGACGCUUUUGCGCUUCAUUGCGUGGAGCGGAUCUCGGGACUUUUACUUUGAGGAAAUUAGAGUGUUCACGGCAGGCUUUCGCCCGAAUACAUUAGCAUGGAAUAAUACUAUAGGAUCUCGAUUCUAUUUUGUUGGUUUCUAGAAGCGAGAUAAUGAUUAAUAGGGACAAUUGGGGGCAUUCGUAUCAACACGUCAGAGGUGGAAUUCUUGGAUUGUGUUGCGACGAACUACUGCGAAAGCAUUUGCCAAGGAUGUUUUCAUUGAUCAAGAACGAAAGUAAGGGGAUCGAAGAUGAUUAGAUACCGUCGUAGUCUUUACCAUAAACUAUGCCGACUAGAGAUGGGGCAUCGUUCAUUUACGACUUGCUCCGCACCUUAUGAGAUAUCAAAGUCUUUGGGUUCCGGGGGGAGUAUGGUCGCAAGGCUGAAACUUAAAGGAAUUGACGGAAGGGCACCACCAGGAGUGGAGCCUGCGGCUUAAUUUGACUCAACACGGGGAAACUCACCAGGUCCAGACAUAAUAAGGAUUGACAGAUUGAUAGCUCUUUCUUGAUUUUAUGGGUGGUGGUGCAUGGCCGUUCUUAGUUCGUGGAGUGAUUUGUCUGCUUAAUUGCGUUAACG
Molecule: ribosomal RNA, 710 nt
Filed under: uncultured marine alveolate
Lineage: Eukaryota
Description: SSU rRNA
Rfam family: Eukaryotic small subunit ribosomal RNA
Source: RNAcentral